This 21-nucleotide non-coding RNA is filed under the name Caenorhabditis elegans. Lineage: Eukaryota; Metazoa; Nematoda; Chromadorea; Rhabditida; Rhabditidae. The record is from RNAcentral.
UGUAGAAGUUGAAAAACUAAA